UCUGCAGACUGUCGCCUUACGGCAAACCAUCCGCGAAGACUGAGGUAUCAACGCCGAAGACGGAAAGACAGGCACAAUGUAUGAAAAUCUCGAGUUUACGGCCUCCACCAUCGAAGAAGCAGGUCCGAUGACUGGAAACUUCCCGAUCUUCUUCGAUCUCACAAGGACUCCAGCACGCUUCCCACGCCUCCUUCGCUGUUUUCUCCACAUGCACAGACAUCCUGGCAGGGAGUGAUGAUGAGAUGUUCGACCUCAUCACGCUACCAUCUGAAAAUGACAACCUGUGAUCUGAACCAGACAGGCGGAGGCGGCGGUACCUGCACUUUAAGGGGAUUACACCGCACAUUUGACAUCCAACCGGACAAAGAGUGACCGGAGACCAGGUGCUUUUAAGGGGCGCCGUGGUUUGUCAGUUGUGGAAGUUUAAUGAUUUGCAUUAUCACGCCGCUCGCUCACAGCAGGAGAAGUAUACGAAGUAGGCCUAGCGCGAGGCCCCGACGAGCUCUUUGAGUGACAGCUGCACAGCCAAUCAGAUGCCAGUAUCCCGCAGUCACAGAGUCUUUUUGAAAACUGGAAAAAGGCACACAGUCAACAAAGCCAGGGAGAAAAUUAUUCAGAAGAUGGACCUCCGAGGAUGUUUUCACGCCCACACAAGUGGCCAAGAAGUGGGACAACCUCAAAAGAAAAUAUGCGGUUGAGAUGCCCACCAACUGGGAUGGGGACUGACAGCUACAUGGCCAUAUUUUGGUGACAUGCAUGAGGCCAUCCAUUGGGCUCUCACCCUUAUGGACUCAGCUGGCGUGGUUGCUGAGGCCUCUGGUGAUGGCUCAGGAUCUACUGAGGCUGCCCCGAGCCAGGAGAUGGAGGAUGAGGAGGCCACUGAUUCUGGCUCAGACAGCUAUAUGGUGGCUGCGGAGUCAUCCACCUCUUCCGGUCCCCCUCCCCGCAAGAAGCGCAAGAGCUCCUAGGUCUAGUAAAAAAAGUCACUUAUCAAUAUGUGGCAGUUGGCAAUGAUAGCCUACUGUGGCAGGCCGACACAAACAAAUCAAUGUAUAGGAAACACUGAUUGAGUGAUGACGUAAACAUGCUUCGGCUUGGAUCGUUAGGCACUAGCGUGAGCGCAGGCCAGCGGGGGAGUUGGGAGGGGGGACAAUCGUGCUCAGACACGGUACAAGGCAACCGGGCCUAGUGUGAGAACACCCUAAAUUCACAGUCACAUCAGAGGUGAUUAUGGUCAUAUUAAACCUGAACAUCAGCACCUUGGGAUUUUCACACCCUUUGUAGUACAGGCCACUGGUCUUAUGCCACUCAUCACUUGUUUUUGCCAACUUGUCGUAACGUACUCUCUCGGCCAGAAAACUACUUUUGUCUUUUGUACUCUUAAGUACCUUUGCUUAUGUACUUAUUAUGUCUCUGCUCUUCAGAGCCUUGCCUCCAGUGCCAAUCGUCACUCAAUGUCGUAUUACUCAGACCACAACAAACCCACUACGCCUCCUCAGUCUGCCUGCCGGCCUUCAGCCAUUGUCAGCCAUGCCCGUCCUUGCUGCCUCGUGU
Long non-coding RNA from Micropterus dolomieu (smallmouth bass), 1554 nucleotides. RefSeq lists it as uncharacterized. NCBI's taxonomy places the organism in Eukaryota, Metazoa, Chordata, Actinopteri, Centrarchiformes, Centrarchidae. The record is from RefSeq and is a predicted model, not a curated record. The transcript has 5 exons.